UGCUUUGAGGGCUAUCUGGCUGUAACAUCUGUCACCCCAUUGAUCUCCAGCGUGGAUUCAGCUGAUCUGGCUGGCUAGGCGGGUGUCCCCUUCCCCUUCCUCCCUCACCCCUCCACGUGCAGCUCUCCGGAAACUAUGCGCGCAAUAAAGAGGCUGGCCUUCCCUGGAUAGAGACAGACAGGUCUUGGUCAAGGGUAUACGAGUAGCUGUGCUCCCCUGCUAGGACCUCUAUACAAGCUCUCAAUAAUAUAGAAAUCACUCAUAAAUAGUAAAGAAAAAUUGCUUCCUUUUUAUUGAUCCUUAUUAAAAAUUUGUAGGAGUUUU
Molecule: small RNA, 324 nt
Filed under: Sorex araneus (European shrew)
Lineage: Eukaryota; Metazoa; Chordata; Mammalia; Eulipotyphla; Soricidae
Description: 7SK RNA (ENSSARG00000017940.1)
Rfam family: 7SK RNA
About the family: 7SK was discovered as an abundant small nuclear RNA in the mid-70s but a possible function has only recently been suggested.
Source: RNAcentral